CAGCAGCCACGGGAAUACAGAGGGUGCGAGCGUUAAUCGGAUUUACUGGGCGUAAAGCGUGCGUAGGCGGCUAAUUGAGUCGGAUGUGAAAUCCCCGAGCUUAACUUGGGAAUUGCAUUCGAUACUGGUUAGCUAGAGUGUGGGAGAGGAUGGUAGAAUUCCAGGUGUAGCGGUGAAAUGCGUAGAGAUCUGGAGGAAUACAGAUGGCGAAGGCAGCCAUCUGGCCUAACACUGACGCUGAGGUACGAAAGCAUGGGGAGCAAACAGGAUUAGAUACCCGCGUAGUCCCUGUCUCUUAUAA
RNAcentral lists this ribosomal RNA (301 nucleotides) under uncultured bacterium. RNAcentral's name for it is "partial 16S ribosomal RNA". It matches the Rfam family "Bacterial small subunit ribosomal RNA", at positions 509 to 809 of the family's 1533-position model. The record is from RNAcentral.